Polistes canadensis is the source of this 834-nucleotide long non-coding RNA. RefSeq lists it as uncharacterized. The transcript has 3 exons. The record is from RefSeq and is a predicted model, not a curated record. NCBI's taxonomy places the organism in Eukaryota, Metazoa, Arthropoda, Insecta, Hymenoptera, Vespidae.
UUUUUAUAUUUGCAACGUAAUUAUUAGGAAAGGAUAGGAAAAAUAUUUUAUACGUUUACGAUGGCUGGAGAGAGGAAUCCCAUAAAAUACAAUCGGAUAAGAAAAUCUAAUUGAUUGAAAGGAACAUUUUUGAAAGAUUAAAAUAAAAACAUUCUGAUAUACAUCUAUCAACGUUUGGUCCGGCGAAAACUCAAAAGGAAUACCCAACAAAUUUCCUGGCUCUAUUCCAAAACUCGAGUAACGUGACUGAUUCUCUUGUUUGCAUCAGAAACUUGUGAAGGGGUGGUGAUCGGUGGUAGUACAAUGAGAGAACUCCUCAACUAUCACGUAAUUAUUCUUCUAAUCUUCCUCGAGUCGAUCGUUCUUUCUAUUGUUACAGCGAAAAAGAUAAAUCAAGAAAGGGGGAAUCGUUCUAAGAACAUCUGGAAAAUGAAAUUGAAAUGUUAAUGGAUUGAGUUACGAUAUACAAAGGCAAUACAUUCAAAGAUCGUAAAUGACUACACGAUAUGAACCACCUGAUCACUAUCAUAUAUUGACGAAAGAGGAUAUACGAAGAAGAUAUCAAGAUACGGCAUUAGUUAUAUUUAAAGAACAACAGAACAAGAAAGACGAGGUGAACUAUUUGAGUUUUGGUACAAGUCGUAGGACUAUGGAGUACAGUAAUUAUGGAAAUCAGCCGGUAAUAAUUCGUAGGCCUCACGAAGCUUCGAAUGUUGUAAAUGAUACUUUGCCUAUGAGAAUUUUGAGAAUGUAUCGUAAGCCUCGUGAAAAUUGUUCUAUAGCUUAAAUGAUGUUAAAAAUUAAUUAAUAAAUAUAUAUUCGUUAAUUAACUUA